CCCUAAGGGAGGGAAAAAAUUAAAUUUGUAAGCUGAAGAUUCCAGCUGAAGUAGUGGAAGGGAUACUCCUGGAAGCCCUGUUAUGGGAGGAGGAAAUCACAGAAGUGAAUAUCCGCCUUAGCUCUGAUCCAGGAAGAGGCAACAAUUCCUUCUGGCUCCUUUGCGUACCUAGCUUUGAUUUUUCCCUCAGCUUCUAGAUUUCAAAGGUACUGGGCCUUAGCGCAAACAAAACCCCAGGAAACAGCCAGAACUCUAUUGUAAGAGAGGGAUUCGUAUGGAGUGACUGAGAAGUUCAAGAAGAUGGAUGAAAGUUGGAGAAGGGAAGUUCCUUCAAAGCCACACUAAAGACUGUGG
RNAcentral lists this long non-coding RNA (354 nucleotides) under Equus caballus (horse). Its description in RNAcentral is "lncRNA (ENSECAG00000055591.1)". Lineage: Eukaryota; Metazoa; Chordata; Mammalia; Perissodactyla; Equidae. The record is from RNAcentral.